CUGGCUCAGGACGAACGCUGGCGGCGUGCUUAACACAUGCAAGUCGAGCGAUGAAGCUCCUUCGGGAGUGGAUUAGCGGCGGACGGGUGAGUAACACGUGGGUAACCUGCCUCAUAGAGGGGAAUAGCCUUUCGAAAGGAAGAUUAAUACCGCAUAAGAUUGUAGUACCGCAUGGUACAGCAAUUAAAGGAGUAAUCCGCUAUGAGAUGGACCCGCGUCGCAUUAGCUAGUUGGUGAGGUAACGGCUCACCAAGGCGACGAUGCGUAGCCGACCUGAGAGGGUGAUCGGCCACAUUGGGACUGAGACACGGCCCAGACUCCUACGGGAGGCAGCAGUGGGGAAUAUUGCACAAUGGGGGAAACCCUGAUGCCAGCAACGCCGCGUGAGUGAUGACGGCCUUCGGGUUGUAAAACUCUGUCUUUGGGGACGAUAAUGACGGUACCCAAGGAGGAAGCCACGGCUAACUACGUGCCAGCAGCUGC
RNAcentral lists this ribosomal RNA (483 nucleotides) under uncultured bacterium. RNAcentral's name for it is "bacterial SSU rRNA". It matches the Rfam family "Bacterial small subunit ribosomal RNA", at positions 19 to 518 of the family's 1533-position model. The record is from RNAcentral.